GGCGAACGCUGGCGGCGCGCCUAACACAUGCAAGUCGAACGAGCGAAGAGGAGCUUGCUUCUCUGAGCGAGUGGCGAACGGGUGAGUAACGCGUGAGGAACCUGCCUCAAAGAGGGGGACAACAGUUGGAAACGACUGCUAAUACCGCAUAAGCCCACGGGUCGGCAUCGACCAGAGGGAAAAGGAGCAAUCCGCUUUGAGAUGGCCUCGCGUCCGAUUAGCUAGUUGGUGAGGUAAUGGCCCACCAAGGCGACGAUCGGUAGCCGGACUGAGAGGUUGAACGGCCACAUUGGGACUGAGAUACGGCCCAGACUCCUACGGGAGGCAGCAGUGGGGAAUAUUGGGCAAUGGGCGCAAGCCUGACCCAGCAACGCCGCGUGAAGGAAGAAGGCUUUCGGGUUGUAAACUGCUUUGUCAGGGACGAAAAGGACCGUGUUAAUACCAUGGUCUGCUGACGGUACCUGAAGAAUAAGCACCGGCUAACUACGUGCCAGCAGCCG
Molecule: ribosomal RNA, 500 nt
Filed under: uncultured bacterium
Lineage: Bacteria
Description: bacterial SSU rRNA
Rfam family: Bacterial small subunit ribosomal RNA
Source: RNAcentral